ACGGAGGGUGCGAGCGUUAAUCGGAAUUACUGGGCGUAAAGCGUAUGUAGGCGGUUUGAUCAGUCGGAUGUGAAAUCCCCGAGCUUAACUUGGGAAUGGCAUUCGAAACUAUCAAGCUAGAGUAGGCUAGAGGAAAGGGGAAUUCCGCGUGUAGCAGUGAAAUGCGUAGAUAUGCGGAGGAACACCAAUGGCGAAGGCACCUUUCUGGGGUCAUACUGACGCUGAGAUACGAAAGCGUGGGGAGCAAACAG
RNAcentral lists this ribosomal RNA (251 nucleotides) under uncultured prokaryote. RNAcentral describes it as "partial 16S ribosomal RNA". It matches the Rfam family "Bacterial small subunit ribosomal RNA", at positions 525 to 775 of the family's 1533-position model. The record is from RNAcentral.